Molecule: non-coding RNA, 514 nt
Organism: Ictidomys tridecemlineatus (thirteen-lined ground squirrel)
Lineage: Eukaryota; Metazoa; Chordata; Mammalia; Rodentia; Sciuridae
Source: RefSeq, a predicted model, not a curated record
CUUGCUUCCUUUUACUUUUCUAUUUCUGUUUCUAUCUUAUAGCUCCCCUCUUAAAUAUGUUCUAUAGUGGGCAAUAUGGUGAACAUAUCUGUUUCUCCUUCAUCAGACUAUAGGUUUGUGAAGGAGAAGACGUUAUUCAUCUUUUUUCUCCAUGGCCAAGGGCUGACUUGAGCAUGUAAUUAAAAAUUCAAUAGGAAAUUUGAAGAUGUCAAACUACCAUAUGAUCUUGAAUAAAGACUAUACGGUUCAAGUCACCUUGAAUAUAGCUCUCAGUACCACAUGUCAGCAGCCAGAAUAAAACCUGUAAGAGAAGCUGAGAAGAACUGGGGCUCAAAUGAAGAAUUGAGGAACUCUGUGUUCCUUUGAAACAGUUUAGUUCUUCUACCAAUGACAUUUGGAACAAAUUGUGUUUAUCGCCAAAGUGAGGGGAAUAAAAGUUUGACAGAGUGAGUUACCCAGGCAAUUCUUAACUUCUACAUGUCAGUGCUAUUAAAGAUAACAUAUUCUUCUCCCA